UAUUUUUUUCUUCUUCUUCAGUUGUCUCUGCCAUCUUUCACCUGACCAUUAGUGCUGUCCUGACUAGCUCACUGUGAGGAGAAAAAAGUUAUCAAACCGUCAACCAGAAGUAAACACAUCACUUUGGACAACUCAAAGACACAGUCUAACUGCUGUUUAACCAAGUCUUUGGUCGGAGGUGAAGAAGAGAUGACAUCCUCCACACCAUCCCUCUGCUGCUCUCAUCAACCAUCACCCGCUGUGCUGGACAGACUGCAGCACCCACCAGGACCGUUCUCUCAUGGACUACACAAACAUGUGUUUUACCUGAUCGGGCUCCAGAUGUCCUGAAGCAGCUCUCAAUGACCACCAGACACCAGACUGAAGCACAACUGAUGCUGUAGUACCUGUCACUCACUGGGCUCGUUCCUGCUGAACCUCCAAGAGAUAAACCCCUCUUCAAGAAAGUCUGAGGUAAUGUCUUACUGAACUUGUGUUCAUUUAUUUUUUCUGUUAUCUUAGCUGCUGUAUUAAUGCUUGUGACGCUAUUGUACAGCUCUGCUGAUAUCAUCGUCUUUAACAGCAGUGUUUUCUCCCAGGUCUUCUUCAAGCCAGUUAAGAAAGGAAGAACAGCUUAGACACUCAGGCAGCUGAACUCACCAAAGGUGGACAUCAUGCAGCCCCCCU
Xyrichtys novacula (pearly razorfish) is the source of this 666-nucleotide non-coding RNA. The record is from the annotation of a GenBank genome assembly. NCBI's taxonomy places the organism in Eukaryota, Metazoa, Chordata, Actinopteri, Labriformes, Labridae.